RNAcentral lists this microRNA precursor (93 nucleotides) under Prunus persica (peach). RNAcentral describes it as "MIR6288 microRNA precursor family". It matches the Rfam family "MIR6288 microRNA precursor family". The record is from Rfam by way of RNAcentral. Lineage: Eukaryota; Viridiplantae; Streptophyta; Magnoliopsida; Rosales; Rosaceae.
CGAAAAUUAGCCACUUGUCAUUUUCUAAUUGGUUCUUAGUGUGUUAAAAAAACUUCUAAAAUCAAUUAGAAAAUGACAAGUGGUUAGUUUUGA